RNAcentral lists this ribosomal RNA (492 nucleotides) under uncultured bacterium. Its description in RNAcentral is "partial 16S ribosomal RNA". It matches the Rfam family "Bacterial small subunit ribosomal RNA", at positions 29 to 507 of the family's 1533-position model. The record is from RNAcentral.
AGUGAACGCUGGCGGUAGGCCUAACACAUGCAAGUCGAACGGCAGCACAGUAAGAGCUUGCUCUUACGGGUGGCGAGUGGCGGACGGGUGAGGAAUACAUCGGAAUCUACUUUUUCGUGGGGGAUAACGUAGGGAAACUUACGCUAAUACCGCAUACGACCUACGGGUGAAAGCAGGGGAUCUUCGGACCUUGCGCGAUUGAAUGAGCCGAUGUCGGAUUAGCUAGUUGGCGGGGUAAAGGCCCACCAAGGCGACGAUCCGUAGCUGGUCUGAGAGGAUGAUAAGCCACACUGGAACUGAGACACGGUCCAGACUCCUACGGGAGGCAGCAGUGGGGAAUAUUGGACAAUGGGCGCAAGCCUGAUCCAGCCAUACCGCGUGGGUGAAGAAGGCCUUCGGGUUGUAAAGACCUUUUGUUGGGAAAGAAAAGCAGCAGGUUAAUACCCCGCUGUUCUGACGGUACCAAAAGAAUAAGCACCGGCUAACUUCGUG